This 234-nucleotide unclassified non-coding RNA is filed under the name uncultured fungus. RNAcentral describes it as "partial contains 5.8S ribosomal RNA, internal transcribed spacer 2, and large subunit ribosomal RNA". The stretch from base 1 to 52 matches the Rfam family "5.8S ribosomal RNA", at positions 103 to 154 of the family's 154-position model. The record is from RNAcentral. Lineage: Eukaryota; Fungi.
AACGCAACUUGCGCCCUUUGGUAUUCCGAAGGGCAUGCCUGUUUGAGUGUCAUAUAAAUCUCACCUCUACUGUUUUUCAUUGAACAUGUGGAUUGGUGCUUUGGGCGUCUGCCGUUUACUCUGGCUCGCCUUAAAUGUCUAAGUGGAAUGCGUAAUAAGUCUUCGCACCUCUCCACUCUAAUACAACUUUUAUAUUCUGACCUCAAAUCAGGUAGGACUACCCGCUGAACUUAA